Molecule: long non-coding RNA, 9514 nt
Organism: Daphnia magna
Lineage: Eukaryota; Metazoa; Arthropoda; Branchiopoda; Diplostraca; Daphniidae
Exons: 8
Source: RefSeq, a predicted model, not a curated record
AGACAUUGACACCUCGGUCAAGCGGAAGGAGGCAAUAAAACCAUAAAAGAGAUAGCGGGGGAGACAAGGUCAAGUGAAGGGAAGGCGGCAUACAAAUUUGAAAGAACAACUUUUAAUUUAAAGUGUUUUAGUUUAAGUUAAGAGUCCUUAAAAUAUGGCGAAAGCGAUUCGCUCGAGGAACGGUUUGAAAUAUGUAAAACAGUGGUGGAAUUGUCGGUAGUAAUGUGACAAAAAAAAGUGAUUUCACUCAUUUUCUUUGCAAUGAAUAAACAGACAAUCCACUUUUCGUCGAGGAAAGGUUUUUAUACAAUCGGAAUACAAAAGACUCCAUCUCAAUUAACAUUUUUCCUAGUUAACUCACGUGUUCUGCAGAAGUUAACCACUUCUUAUAACGAUUCCAAAUAUGUAAAACAGUGUUGGAAUUGUGAGAAGAAAUGGGACAGCACAAACAAUUCUUUUCUCUUCGUCGGAAUGAUGAGUUGACAAAUAUGACGAAUUUUGAACUAGGAAGGGUUUGUAACAUACCCUUCUACAGUAAAGGCCAUAAAGUCUCCGUCCGAGUCAUUAAACUAUAUUCCGAUUUUUAAACUAUUAAACUACUAUUCAUAAUCUCAUCGCUGAAACUAGAAAACAGAAAGAAGCAUAUUCCAUACGUUACCCUUACGAAUUGGUAAUGGCAAUUUUACUGCUCACCCUAGGGAUAAUCGCCCUAGCCUACAAGCAGUACACCCUUACUGUACGACUAGCCGUACAUGAACAGUACGACAACCCUCCACCCGGAGACCGCGGGAGGGAUGAGGUACAAACACAAGAUGUGUAACGAGCUACUAGUGGAAGAAAAGAAAAAGACCAUUCAAGAUUUAUAAAAAAAGGAGUGUAUUUUUUUCAAAAUUCGCCAAAGAAGAAGUUACAUUAUUCUUCGUUUAAUUGAUCCUCGACGUAGUCGAGGAGAGAAGUUAAACUAUGCGAGAAAUCCCGUAAUAGACGAAAAUCUUCUUGCCCGGGGUUUUCCAUAUCGAACGACGCUAAAACGUCGUUCCACGUUGAACGCGCGGCGAGUCGGUUGUCCAUCUCAGCCUGUGUUAUCUCCGUGUAAAAUUCUGAAGAGUGCAGAGUCGGGUAAAAAAUGUCUUCAUCUGACUCCAACCACCAGAGAAGACGCGAGUGAGUCAGUGAAAACAGUUCGCGGUAUUUGGCAUAACCGGAAUAUUUACUUAAACAAAAGGAAAAAAGAAAAGUUUAAUUAAAAGAAAUUAAGAAAAUCGUAAAAAAGGAAAAUUUUUCUUACCUGAAGUAAUAGUCUCCAAACCAAACGGUGCUCACGGAUGGUGAAAAAGUUAGGCGAGUAUCAGUCUGAUAAACUUCUAAAAGCACUGAAAAGAAAAACACUCGGUCGCUGGAGCACAACCGGCUGUAGCGGCUCUGCUGGUUGUUGAAUGUUGCGUCAACAAACCGCACUAACGCGCACUCAAACGCACGAAGAUUCUCUAAAACGUUGGAAUAGGUAAACAUUCUACCGUGGAAGCUGAAAGAACACUGAAUUUGCAAUCUGGAAUAGUCAUCUUACUUUCAUUCUAUUGUCAUUCCUUUUUGCCGAUAAUUUGAUAUCAAUGUUUACUUAUGAUUUUCGUUAUGGCUUUGUUUCAUUUUGCGCUAUAACCCCGUUUCAGCUAUCUCUUUAUUACUCUAGAAAAAAUCUUCGAGUUCUAAUGCCGUUUCCAAUUUCCCAUGUUUUAUCGUGUUAUUUCCCUUUUUAUGCUAUUCGUAGUACAGUCGGGUCGCCUGUCUUAAAGAAGGGGGACCUGUCACGGAGGGACAAUAGCAGAAAUGCUUAUCUCUUCCUAGAGACGCUGUAAUUACGAAAAUGGAAAUUUGUUGUAAUUUCAUCGGGCAUUACUCUUUAUUAAGCAGAAAUUUUAAAAAUAGAUUAAGAAAGUACGCUAAGUUUAUGUAACCUUAGGGAGGGGGCGUAUUUUCAAAGCUAGUAUAAAACCCACUAUUUUCUCUCCCUCAUUAGUUCUUAUUUCGCUAGAACCGUAGCUAGUAAGUAAAAGAGUGUUAUUCUUUUUCUCGCAUGUAUUUCACUUGUUUUGAGUUACAAUACAUCCCUUUAAAGUCAAGUGCGACAAUAAGGUGAAGACAUUGACACCUCGGUCAAGCGGAAGGAGGCAAUAAAACCAUAAAAGAGAUAGCGGGGGAGACAAUGUCAAGUGAAGGGAAGGCGGCAUACAAAUUUAAAAGAACAAAUUUUAAUUUAAAGUUUUUUAGUUUAAGUUAAGAGUCCUUACAAUAUGGCGAAAGCGAUUCGCUCGAGGAACGGUUUGAAAUAUGUAAAACAGUGGUGGAAUUGUCGGUAGUGUAAUGGUUUACACGCGCGUGGAGCGUGCAAACUAUCACAUGAAUUUAAAGUAAUAAGAAUCUUUGGCUUUACCGCAUUGUAUUUGGAAGGCUGGAACAGGUCGGGACAGAUCGGCACAACUGGCGAGAAAGUUAACAGAAGACUGAAGGGGCAAGCUUAAUCUAGUUCUAUUUAUUAGGUCUUGAGGAAGCAUUUUUUCCUUGGUUGGCGUGGGGUCGUGGUAGCGUCCUUUCCAACGGUCAACUUGACAUUCUUCUUUGUUCGAGAACAAUGGGGCUUUUUCCGCAACGGUCAACUCCCCGUAUUGCUUGGGGCGCCAGAGGGGUGAUUUUUUAGAAAGUCGAAAGACAUCGUUUCUCUGUUGUCAGAGAUCUCGAUUCUUUACAGUAGUAAUGUGACACUAAAAAGUGAUUUCACUCAUUUUCUUUGCAAUGAGUAAACAGAUGUAAUAGUUUACACGCGCGUGGAGCGUGCAAACUAUCACAAGAAUUUAAUGUAAAUAAAGAAUCUUUGUUGGACUUUACCGCAUGUUGUAUUUUGGGCACAGUAGGGCUGGGACAGGCCGAGACAGGCAGGAAUAACUAGCGAGAAUGCUAACAGAAGACUGAAGGGGCAAGCUAAAUCUAGUCCUAUUUAUUAGGUCUUGUAAAAGCAUUUUUUCCUUGGUUGGCGUGGGUCGUGGUAGCGUCCCUUCCAACAGUCAACUUGACCUUCUUCUUUGUUCGAGAACAAGGGGGCUUUUUCCCGCAACGGUCAACUCCCCGUAUUGCUUGGGGCGCCAGAGGGGUGACUUUUUAGAAAGUCGAAGACAUCGUUUCUCUGUUGUCAGAGAUCUCGAUUCUUAACACAGACAAUCCACUUUUCGUCGAGGAAAGGUUUUUAUACAAUCAGAAUACAAAAGACUCCAUCUCAAUUAACAUUUUUCCUAGUUAACUCACGUGUUCUGCAGAAGUUAAUCACUUCUUAUAACGAUUCCAAAUAUGUAAAACAGUGUUGGAAUUGUGAGAAGAAAUGGGACAGCACAAACAAUUCUUUUCUCUUCGUCGGAAUGAUGAGUUGACAAAUAUGACGAAUUUUGAACUAGGAAGGGUUUGUAACAUACCCUUCUACAGUAAAGGCCAUAAAGUCUCCGUCCGAGUCAUUAACCUAGUCCAUCGGCGCUGCCAUUUUCUGUUCCAAAUAAUAAUUCUAUAUUGUCACACUUGACUUUAAAGGAUGUAUUAAAUCCCAGAAAAAAGGGAAUACACAACAAAUGAAUUGUACUUUUACUAACUAGUUACGCGUCUAGCGAAAGAAGAACCAUGAUGAGGAAAAAAAUUGUGGAUGUUUUCUAGCCUUGGAAAUACACCGGUUCCCUAAGGUUACCCGACUCUAAUGUACUUUCUUAUUCUAUCCUGGAAUUUCUACUUAUUAAAAGAGUAAUGCGCGAUGACGUAACAAGUUUUAACAUUCGAAACUACAGCGUCGGCUGUAGCGUCUCUAGGAAGAGAUAAGCACAUCUGUUAUUGUCCCCCCGCGACAUGCCCCCCUUCUUUAAGACAGGCGACCCGACUGUACUACAAAAAGCAUAGAAAGUGGAACAACAUGAUAAAAGGUGGGAAUAGCAAAAGAACUCGAAGAAUUUUCUAAAGUCAUUAAAACAAUCAAUGGUCACUCACCAAGAGGAUAGUCUAUUUCAAGCGACGAACUUUGGGUCGCUUACCGAGAGUCUUCCUUCUCAGUUGCAGCCAUGGAAAAUUGAUUUCGCCUCUUCAUACAUGUUCCUAUUUUUGACCACGCCCAGCAGUACAAGCUCCUCCAGAUUAUCAACCUGCCAGGAGCAACAGAUAAUGGAACUAAUGGCGUCUUGUUCGGAAAUUUACCAGAUUACCUUGCUGUGUCCACAGACCUCGAAACUGUUUUCGAAUUUUCCAAAGAUUAUGUUUAAGGCUGCAGCAAGAAAGAACGUCCUCUCUGCAAGUUCCACGCCGGCAUCAGUAAAAGAACUCCUCGAAAAUCCUGCGCAAUAGCUGUGUUCCUGAGUGAUACACCAAGAAUUAACAAACAAUGCAAAAAGAAAGUUACGGAAUGGUGCGGCCCUGAAGUCGUUUACAUGGGAGCCAACCAAUGGAUUUAUUCAGCAGCAAAGCCACAUGAAAUUGUGUUUUCGUGUCCAUCUGGUGGUGAGCAGCCACCACUAAGAACAGCAACAUUACCGCGUAUAUGAAUGUAUGAAAUACCUUUGGGAUGCACUGCUCGUAUAGAAGAGUGAGUUUUCCCAGCUAGUAUGGAAGGCAACAUAAUGGCACCAAAAUUACAAGCAGUUGUCCUACCGACAGUUAAAAUUUUUUCUAGAGAUGUCAACACUACUGCGAGCAAGAAACAUACCUUCGUGGAACUUUCGCGAAAAAACACAUCGUUAAUAGACAUCAUCAGUCAACUGUUACAUCGCAAUGCCCAAGCCAGCCUUUCAACGGAAAUGACAGGAGAACAAAUUCACAAUCUCAUCAUGGCAACUCAAAAACAGAAAAAAAACGUCUUCUAUACGUUACCCUUACGAAUUGGUGACUGCAGUAUUCCUUCUGGCCUUAGGGAUAAUUGCCCUUGCAUACAAAUUGUAUACGCUCAGUGUACGCUUAGCCACAGCACAUGAGCGGUACGACAACCCUCCUCCCGGAGACCGCGCCAGGGAGGAGAUAGAGACGCAAGAAGUUUAAUGUGUUAUUAAGCUGAAGAAAGGAAAAAGACUAUUCAGAUUUGAAUAAAAAAGGGUAUUUUUCAAAAGUUCACUCAAGAAAAAUUUUCAUCACUCUUCGUUUAGUUGAUCCUCGACGUAGUCGAGAAGGGAAGCUUAACUAUGGGAAAAUUCCUGUAACAAGCAAAAAUCUUCUCGCCCUGGGUGUUCCGUGUCGAACGACGUCAAAACGUCGUUCUAGGUCGAACGUGCGGCGCGACGGUUGUCCAUUUCAGCCUGAGUGAUUUCGGUGUAAAAUUCGGAGGAAUGCGCUGUCGGGUGGUAAAUGUCUUCAUCUGAUUUGGACCAACAGAGAAGACGCCUUUUGCUUCAGUAGGUAUUCUGGAUACGCAAAAUACCACGAACUGUUUUCUUUUACUCAUGCGCGUCUUCUCUGUUGGUCCGAAUCAGAUGAAUAAAAAUGGAAAAUAGCAGAUACUUAAAAUAAGAGCAGCAUAAGCUGCGCAAACUGUCUAAGAUGGCCAAUUAAUGUGUAUUAAUGUAUAAUAAGAAGAAAACGGCGCGGAAAACAGUCAUUUGGAAAACAACGUUUUGGAGGGAAUGUUCUGAUUUAUCCGGGUAGUCAGCGCCCCUAGCGAGUGCCCCAAAAUUUGCCGUUGUUCAUGUCAGCACCUGGAGAGGACGCUGUUGUGGAUGUUUACUCGAGGACUCAUCUAUAUAAUAGAAAUGUGGAAUCGUACGCAAUGAAAAUAGACAGGAGUAACGUGAAAAUGACAGCCAAGAAGACGAAUCGUAGAUUCCAGGACAUGGAAUUCCAUAGUCGUGCUAGAUAGAGAUGAAUCCAUCGCUGGUAAAACUAUUUUACCAUUUGCAUUAUUUUUCUUAUUAGAUACAUGAUUUGAGUAUCACCCUUUCUACUUGGAAGAAAACAUCUGGGUAAAGUCAAGUUUGCAUAAAGUUAAAGCUUAAACAAAAAUUAUUUUGGCUUGUACAGGAAAAUACCAGAGCAUAUUUGUGAAGACUACAUUUUUGCUCAUGCUUUAACUGAGAUUGUCCUUUUGCAAGAGUUUACCAAUGUAAAGACUGAGUAUUUUGUGGAGGAAGUACCGUAAAAACCUUAAAAUUGAUUUUCAAUUUCAACCAAUUAUUACAGUGUCGUAGUCAAUGAUGCAAAUACCGAUUUGAAAGCCUGUACGGUGUUAGUUUUAUAAGGACUCCUAUCAGAGCUCAUCUUUUUAGUGCACUUAUUUGAAUCUGCGGAACCCUGUCAUUGGUUUUGGUCUAUAGGUAGAACCAAUAAGUAGAGGUUGUUGAGUUCCCCCCCAGUCCAAGGCAUUUUUCAAUACAUCAGCUGUGAUCAAUCUUUUCAAAAAAGAGAACGGCUGCAAACAUUUGAAGGAGAUAAUUGACCUCAACCACUGAUUAUUGAGAGUAGUGUUAAUUAUCAGGUUAUCAGAUUCGUUUUUUUUUUUUCAUGUAGUAAAUGUAUGUGUGUAGAUAGCAAGUAAGCUAAGGGAACUUUGCCCUUAAAUAUUGAAACAGCUGUUGGCAUUAAGUAUUUCUAAUCCAUUACCUUCAAAUCAGUUUAUCUCUAGUCUAUCCAACAGAUAAUACUACAUUUUUCAUUGAAUUAUUUUGAUUUCCAUUUAUAUUUUUAUGCAUCUGUUGUCGUGGAGAAGCUCGCAUUUAUCAGAUUAUUAAAAUUGUGGCUUUAACUUCGAUGUCGAUGGUGGAUUUCCAUCGGUGAAAUUUCCGACCAAUCCGUGGAGGUAUUAAAACAGUAAAAAACUAAAGGAUUAUUUCGAAAUCAAAUCAUGUGGGUCACGUCAUCAACAGAGUAGUCAACGACAAACAAAAACAAGUGCCGAGCUCGGUUUCAGAGGGUUUCAUGGCGCGAUAAUGGACGACGCUUCUCCUUUCAUCGAAAAUUUUUUUCCAAAGUAGAAAGUACUCUACCGUUAGAGGAAUGAAUAUGGCAUCACUGUUGGCGUGUCAUAAAUGUACGGACCAGUGUCCACAUUGAAGAGUGUUUCACUCCUAAAGUUUUAUUUUUGUUUCUUUUUUUGUGUAUUUGAAUGAAUGAGGGGGCAGAAGGGGGAUAUCCAAAUUCGCAACGCCAUCUAGCGUUAACUAGCAAAAUGCGAUUAGUGCCGCUUAAUAGAAAAAUUUAGUUGCGCCCUCUGGCUUCAAAGUAAAUGACAGAACCAGAGUCAUGGGUUCCAUGUUGGGAUCGUCCCCGACCCUAAUCGGGUGAAAUUUUGCCAAUGGAGGGGCGCUCGGGGUGAAAAUUUUUGAGCUCUGAUCUAAAUCAGGGUGCGUAAUCGGGGAUGUAACCCCGAUUGCAAUCGAUCGAGUCGAAAUCGAUUAGUAUGAUGAAAAUCAGGGAGUUCGCUCCGCUCACCCCGAUAAAAACCCGACCAAAAUUCAUAGUUUGAUUCAGGCGUCAUUUUUGCAAGUGGCGUUAGGGUAAGCGGGUUAACUCCAAUUUUUGCCCCGCCCCGGCUGUCGAAGUGGCACCCCGAUUCAGCCCCGAUUGCAUCUUCCCGUGGUGGGGCCCCGAUCAGCCAUAACCGCCCCGCCCCGGGAAAAGGCAAUCGGGUCUAGAUCGGGUUGACAUUUCGUCAGCCGGGGCGGGGCAGGGCUAAAAUCAGGGUAAACCUGCUUGCCCCGACAACAUUUGCAAAAUUGGCGCCUGAAUUGAAACUACGAAUUUGGGUCGGGUUUUUAUCGGGCAACCGGGGCGAACUCCCCAAUUUUCAUCAUAAUGAUCGAUUUCGACUCGAUCGAUUAUGUUUUUACGUCGAUCGAUUGAUUGCAAUCGGAGUUGCAUCCCCGAUUGAGAUCGGUGUUCACAAAUUUUCACUCGAACGCCCCGCCCCGAAUUUCGAAACACGAUUGGCAAAAUGUGCCCCGAUUAUGGUCGGGGCCGAUCCCUAGCUCUGACUAGGGCUGUGGCCCGGACCAAAUGGGACGGGAUUUUUCUUAUGUGGUUAAAAUUAACGGGUUUUUUUCCUUAAAGGGUUUUGAACCGGGUCGACGAGGCAAAAAAAAAUGUCCCGUCCAGCUUGACCCGUGGGUCAGAAAAAACAACCCGGGUCGGGUCAUGUCCCGCGUAAUUAUCGGGUCAAAUGCACUUUUCUUCUCUUCUUUUCAGUCUCGUCAUCAGACUCAACCAUUACAACGUUUAUAUUUGGAUAACUUCUUUUUUUGCCAGCAACAUCGCCUGAUUGACAGGAUUUAGGUACAUUUGGACGUUUUCUGCGAAUGGUGGCCAAUUUUCAAAACGAUUUUUUCCACUAUCCACAAUAUCUUUAAAUUUUUUUACAAUGAGCUACAACUUGAAGUAGGAAAGCAUAGCAUUUUAGCAUAGUCUCCAGCAGUUCAAAACUAUAUGUGAUUUUGUUUGGCAUAGAAUUGUGUAAAACUUGUGUAGAAAUUGUGGAAAGUGGAAAAAUUGUUUUGAAAAUUGGUCACCAGUCGCAGCACUAUAUUGAGACAAACGUCCCGAGGCGCCUGUGGGUUGGUGACUUGGUGGGAGGACCUAAGUUCCCAAGUACGCAGAGAGAUACCCCGAUUCCUGACCGUUACUGUAGAUUGCUAUGUUUUUAAGCUAUUCGGCUUUGUUGACUCGUAACUUAGCGUAAGAGUUAAAACCUUCUCUGUCUUACUACUAGAUGGCGCCACAUCUCGGGUUAGCCCGAAAACCCCUUGAACCAUACCGAAACCCGUCCCGAAAAAAAAAUUCCUUAAAGGGUUGCCUUUUAUCGGUUUUUUUUUUCCUUGACCCGGGAUCUGACCCGGGUUUUCAUGACCCGGGCCACAGCCCUAGCUCUGACAGAACCAUCUGAAGUUUUUCUGAAGUGUUCGGCAACGCUGACAGACCAGGAAGUGGAAACACUGGGCGUACAGAGUGAGUUAUCAGGUCGACAAGUGCUCUGCAAGUGCUAGAUUUCUGUCUCGUUGUAACAGUCAUGUGUCUUAUCAGCUUUCGUGUGGAUCGUGUGGAUGGAUUGGUACUGAACAAACUGUAGACUAGCUUAAUGCUUCUUCACCCAGUACACCACGUUCUUUCUUAUUAACUAGUGAGAGAAAAACAAAACGAAAUGACAAAACGAUCAGCUGAUUGCCAUUCCGUGGUAUUGAUGGCGGGAGUGCAAAAGCUACGAACUUAUCACCUGUUAUAAACCAAACGUCUGUCGAUGGCUGUGUUAAAAUAAAACAAAUUCUCUAUUUCACUUCCAGGUACUCACUUGUAUUCGGUUGAAAAUUGAUCAAGAGACGACUGGAUGCUGGUAGUCGGCGUUGAUGAUACCGUUUGCUACAAGUUAUUCAUCGAAAGCACGUGAAUUAUAGCUCAAUGGUUAAGCUUCGACAUUGUGCUCAAACAAGUGGGUUCGAUUCUCAUAUGAGUCAAGUUAUAAUGUGAUAUCCAAAGAGUUGAUGUGAUGUAGUUGCGUUUCGAAUAAAUAAUGUAAAUUGCA